Molecule: ribosomal RNA, 512 nt
Filed under: uncultured bacterium
Lineage: Bacteria
Description: partial 16S ribosomal RNA
Rfam family: Bacterial small subunit ribosomal RNA
Source: RNAcentral
ACGAACGCUGGCGGCGUGCUUAACACAUGCAAGUCGAACGAAAAGAGGGAAAGAGCUUGCUCUUUCCGGAAUUGAGUGGCAAACGGGUGAGUAACACGUAAACAACCUGCCUUCAGGAUGGGGACAACAGACGGAAACGACUGCUAAUACCGAAUAAGUUCCAAGAGCCGCAUGGCCCAUGGAAGAAAAGGUGGCCUCUACCUGUAAGCUAUCGCCUGAAGAGGGGUUUGCGUCUGAUUAGCUGGUUGGAGGGGUAACGGCCCACCAAGGCGACGAUCAGUAGCCGGUCUGAGAGGAUGGACGGCCACACUGGAACUGAGACACGGUCCAGACUCCUACGGGAGGCAGCAGUGGGGAAUCUUCCGCAAUGGGCGAAAGCCUGACGGAGCAACGCCGCGUGAGUGAUGACGGCCUUCGGGUUGUAAAACUCUGUGAUCCGGGACGAAAAGGCAGAGUGCGAAGAACAAACUGCAUUGACGGUACCGGAAAAGCAAGCCACGGCUAACUACGUG